This 672-nucleotide ribosomal RNA is filed under the name Suhomyces emberorum. RNAcentral describes it as "LSU rRNA". The stretch from base 71 to 672 matches the Rfam family "Eukaryotic large subunit ribosomal RNA", at positions 1 to 630 of the family's 3401-position model. The record is from RNAcentral. Lineage: Eukaryota; Fungi; Ascomycota; Pichiomycetes; Serinales; Debaryomycetaceae.
CCAACGUCUGCUCGAAAAAUAGUCGCAACAUGUCUAGGAUUACCCAUCAUGUGGCGAAACAAACUACUUUCGACCUCAAAUCAGGUAGGACUACCCGCUGAACUUAAGCAUAUCAAUAAGCGGAGGAAAAGAAACCAACCGGGAUUGCCUCAGUAACGGCGAGUGAAGCGGCAAAAGCUCAAAUUUGAAAUCUGGCCUUUCGGGUCCGAAUUGUAAUUUGAAGAAGCGACUCUGGUACCGGCCCUUGUCUAUGUUCCUUGGAACAGGACGUCACAGAGGGUGAGAAUCCCGUGCGAUGGGGUGUCCGGUGCUAUGUAGAGCGUUUUCGACGAGUCGAGUUGUUUGGGAAUGCAGCUCUAAGUGGGUGGUAAAUUCCAUCUAAAGCUAAAUAUUGGCGAGAGACCGAUAGCGAACAAGUACUGUGAAGGAAAGAUGAAAAGAACUUUGAAAAGAGAGUGAAAAAGUACGUGAAAUUGUUGAAAGGGAAGGGCUUGGGAUCAGACAUUGUAUUUCCAUGGCGCUCUCUCGGGGGUGUCCUCUGGGUUUACAGGGCCAGCAUGGGUUCUGCGGGCAAGAUGAGGGUGUGGGGAAUGUGGCUCUGCUUCGGCGGAGUGUUAUAGCCCCGGACUUUGGUUGCCACGCGGGACCGAGGAUGCGAAUCUAGAUGCUGCC